This 262-nucleotide ribosomal RNA is filed under the name Clostridioides difficile. RNAcentral describes it as "partial 23S ribosomal RNA". It matches the Rfam family "Bacterial large subunit ribosomal RNA", at positions 1442 to 1701 of the family's 2925-position model. Lineage: Bacteria; Bacillati; Bacillota; Clostridia; Peptostreptococcales; Peptostreptococcaceae. The record is from RNAcentral.
UACUACCGAUAACCGUUUGAGAGAAGGGAUGACACAGUAGGAUAAGCUAAGCACACUGUUGGUUAUGUGUGCCCAAGCAUUGAGGCAGUCAAAGUAGGCAAAUCCGCUUUGAUAAUACUGGGAUGUGAUGGGGAGCGAAAUUUAGUAGCGAAGUAGCUGAUUUCACACUGUCAAGAAAAGUCUCUAUCGAGGUUAAAGGUACCCGUACCGCAAACCGACACAGGUGGGUGAGGAGAGUAUCCUAAGGCCAGCGAGAGAACUG